Molecule: ribosomal RNA, 271 nt
Filed under: uncultured archaeon
Lineage: Archaea
Description: partial 16S ribosomal RNA
Rfam family: Archaeal small subunit ribosomal RNA
Source: RNAcentral
CAGCGCCACGAGUGGUAACCACGUUUAUUGGGCCUAAAGCGUCCGUAGCCGGUUUGGCAAAUCUUUUGUGAAAUUGUACGGCUUAACCGUACAGCGUGCAAGAGACACUACCAAACUCGAGACCGGGAGGAGUCAGAAGUAUUCCAGGGGGAGCGGUAAAAUGUUAUAAUCCCUGGAGGACUACCUGUGGCGAAGGCGUCUGACCAGAACGGAUCUGACGGUGAGGGACGAAAGCUAGGGGAGCGAACCGGAUUAGAUACCCGAGUAGUCC